AGUGAACGCUGGCGGUAGGCCUAACACAUGCAAGUCGAACGGCAGCACAGUAAGAGCUUGCUCUUACGGGUGGCGAGUGGCGGACAGGUGAGGAAUACAUCGGAAUCUACUUUUUCGUGGGGGAUAACGUAGGGAAACUUACGCUAAUACCGCAUACGACCUACGGGUGAAAGCAGGGGAUCUUCGGACCUUGCACGAUUGAAUGAGCCGAUGUCGGAUUAGCUAGUUGGCGGGGUAAAGGCCCACCAAGGCGACGAUCCGUAGCUGGUCUGAGAGGAUGAUCAGCCACACUGGAACUGAGACACGGUCCAGACUCCUACGGGAGGCAGCAGUGGGGAAUAUUGGACAAUGGGCGCAAGCCUGAUCCAGCCAUACCGCGUGGGUGAAGAGGGCCUUCGGGUUGUAAAGCCCUUUUGUUGGGAAAGAAAAGCAGCAGGUUAAUACCCCGCUGUUCUGACGGUACCCAAAGAAUAAGCACCGGCUAACUUCGUG
Molecule: ribosomal RNA, 492 nt
Filed under: uncultured bacterium
Lineage: Bacteria
Description: partial 16S ribosomal RNA
Rfam family: Bacterial small subunit ribosomal RNA
Source: RNAcentral